Molecule: ribosomal RNA, 997 nt
Filed under: bacterium RK77_tank
Lineage: Bacteria
Description: bacterial SSU rRNA
Rfam family: Bacterial small subunit ribosomal RNA
Source: RNAcentral
UCUACGGGAGGCAGCAGUGGGGAAUAUUGCACAAUGGGCGAAAGCUGAUGCAGCAACGCCGCGUGAGGGAUGACGGCCUUUCGGGUUGUAAACCUCUUUUAGCAGGGAAGAAGCGAAAGUGACGGUACCUGCAGAAAAAGCGCCGGCUAACUACGUGCCAGCAGCCGCGGUAAUACGUAGGGCGCAGCGUUAUCCGGAAUUAUUGGGCGUAAAGAGCUCGUAGGCGGUUUGUCGCGUCUGCUGUGAAAUCCCGAGGCUCAACCUCGGGCCUGCAGUGGGUACGGGCAGACUAGAGUGCGGUAGGGGAGAUUGGAAUUCCUGGUGUAGCGGUGGAAUGCGCAGAUAUCAGGAGGAACACCGAUGGCGAAGGCAGAUCUCUGGGCCGUAACUGACGCUGAGGAGCGAAAGGGUGGGGAGCAAACAGGCUUAGAUACCCUGGUAGUCCACCCCGUAAACGUUGGGAACUAGUUGUGGGGACCAUUCCACGGUUUCCGUGACGCAGCUAACGCAUUAAGUUCCCCGCCUGGGGAGUACGGCCGCAAGGCUAAAACUCAAAGGAAUUGACGGGGACCCGCACAAGCGGCGGAGCAUGCGGAUUAAUUCGAUGCAACGCGAAGAACCUUACCAAGGCUUGACAUAUACGAGAACGGGCCAGAAAUGGUCAACUCUUUGGACACUCGUAAACAGGUGGUGCAUGGUUGUCGUCAGCUCGUGUCGUGAGAUGUUGGGUUAAGUCCCGCAACGAGCGCAACCCUCGUUCUAUGUUGCCAGCACGUAAUGGUGGGAACUCAUGGGAUACUGCCGGGGUCAACUCGGAGGAAGGUGGGGAUGACGUCAAAUCAUCAUGCCCCUUAUGUCUUGGGCUUCACGCAUGCUACAAUGGCCGGUACAAAGGGCUGCAAUACCGUGAGGUGGAGCGAAUCCCAAAAAGCCGGUCCCAGUUCGGAUUGAGGUCUGCAACUCGACCUCAUGAAGUCGGAGUCGCUAGUAAUCGCAG